Molecule: ribosomal RNA, 484 nt
Filed under: uncultured bacterium
Lineage: Bacteria
Description: partial 16S ribosomal RNA
Rfam family: Bacterial small subunit ribosomal RNA
Source: RNAcentral
AUUGAACGCUGGCGGCAGGCCUAACACAUGCAAGUCGAGCGGAUGAAGGGAGCUUGCUCCUGGAUUCGGCGGCGGACGGGUGAGUAAUGCCUAGGAAUCUGCCUGGUAGUGGGGGAUAACGUCCGGAAACGGGCGCUAAUACCGCAUACGUCCUGAGGGAGAAAGUGGGGGAUCUUCGGACCUCACGCUAUCAGAUGAGCCUAGGUCGGAUUAGCUAGUUGGUGGGGUAAAGGCCUACCAAGGCGACGAUCCGUAACUGGUCUGAGAGGAUGAUCAGUCACACUGGAACUGAGACACGGUCCAGACUCCUACGGGAGGCAGCAGUGGGGAAUAUUGGACAAUGGGCGAAAGCCUGAUCCAGCCAUGCCGCGUGUGUGAAGAAGGUCUUCGGAUUGUAAAGCACUUUAAGUUGGGAGGAAGGGCAGUAAGUUAAUAUCUUGCUGUUCUGACGUUACCAACAGAAUAAGCACCGGCUAACUUCGUG